RNAcentral lists this ribosomal RNA (240 nucleotides) under uncultured bacterium. Its description in RNAcentral is "partial 16S ribosomal RNA". It matches the Rfam family "Bacterial small subunit ribosomal RNA", at positions 94 to 334 of the family's 1533-position model. The record is from RNAcentral.
AGCGGCGGACGGGUGAGUAACGCGUGGGUAACCUGCCUCAUACAGGGGGAUAACAGUUGGAAACGGCUGCUAAUACCGCAUAAGCGCACAGUACCGCAUGGUACGGUGUGAAAAACUCCGGUGGUAUGAGAUGGACCUGCGUCUGAUUAGGUAGUUGGUGGGGUAACGGCCUACCAAGCCGACGAUCAGUAGCCGACCUGAGAGGGUGACCGGCCACAUUGGGACUGAGACACGGCCCAA